GCCCAGGUGGCGGAAUUGGUAGACGCACCAGGUUCAGGUCCUGGCGGUAGCGAUACUGUGGGGGUUCGAGUCCCUUCCUGGGCACCA
This 87-nucleotide transfer RNA is filed under the name Aromatoleum sp. RNAcentral's name for it is "tRNA-Leu". It matches the Rfam family "tRNA". From Rfam's summary of the family: Transfer RNA (tRNA) molecules are approximately 80 nucleotides in length. Their secondary structure includes four short double-helical elements and three loops (D, anti-codon, and T loops). RNAcentral also lists the same sequence under 1 other name. Lineage: Bacteria; Pseudomonadati; Pseudomonadota; Betaproteobacteria; Rhodocyclales; Rhodocyclaceae. The record is from RNAcentral.